CCUACGGGAGGCAGCAGUGGGGAAUAUUGGGCAAUGGGCGCAAGCCUGACCCAGCAACGCCGCGUGAAGGAAGAAGGCCCUCGGGUUGUAAACUUCUUUUAUCAGGGACGAAACAACUGACGGUACCUGCCGAAUAAGCCACCGCUAACUACGUGCCAGCAGCCGCGGUAAUACGUAGGGGGCACGCGUUAUCCGGAUUUACUGGGUGUAAAGGGCGUGUAGGCGGGAGAGCAAGUCAGAUGUGAAAUUCCAGGGCUCAACCCUGGAACUGCAUUUGAUACUGGUUGUCUUGAGUGAUGGAGAGGCAGGCGGAAUUCCGGGUGUAGCGGUGAAAUGCGUAGAGAUACGGAGGAACACCAGUGGCGAAGGCGGCCUGCUGGACAUUAACUGACGCUGAGGCGCGAAAGCGUGGGGAGCAAACAGGAUUAGAUACCCGUGUAGUC
RNAcentral lists this ribosomal RNA (443 nucleotides) under uncultured bacterium. RNAcentral's name for it is "partial 16S ribosomal RNA". It matches the Rfam family "Bacterial small subunit ribosomal RNA", at positions 338 to 795 of the family's 1533-position model. The record is from RNAcentral.